AAUCACAGUCGCAUUGUCGCAUAUGCAUGACACAUGACGUCGUAACUUUCAUAAGUUACUUCAAAACCAAUUUAAAAGUAAAAAAAACGGAGAUCGGAUAAUGAGUUAACUGUUUUUAAAUAAUUUCAGCUGAAGUUUUCGUGUACCUGGCCAACGGUACGUAGGUGCUCGUGACAGUAGAAAUAAAAUGGUCUAAUAAAAAAGUGCAAAUUCGCAAUGCUCGCAUGCUAUGUCUUCGGAAGCUAAAUAAUUUCUGCUUCAAGAUUUUGUAAAUCUUCAAGAUAUUGAUGCCUUCCCCAGAACCAAUUCCUUGCUGCUAUCUAUGUUGCAGACAACAGCAAGUCAAUGUUUCUACUCAAGAUUUUGUGGUAAUCAUCACUUAGUUCUAAUUUAGGACAAUGUAAGAUUUGAGGUUAAUCCCUCUCCGCUAUUAUAGUUGUUUGGAAACUGACAAGAGAUUGCUGGAAUUGAAGACUGAUAUAAUUUGUGUAGAUGUAGAUAAAUUACAAGUGCAUAUCUGGGCUUCCUUCUUUUCUGUGGCCCUGUUUCCCUAACUAACCACCAAACAAUCACCUGUUGUGAAAACCAUGAGGAGGGGAGGGCUCUGGUCAAACGGGGACUUGGAAGGUGCAUGAUCUGAUGAAAACUUUUGGAGGAUCAUGAGUCUAACCAGGAAUCCAACUAUGACUAUAUCUUCCCAGUAAAACUGGCCUCAUACUUCUCUCUUCUUCCUUGUCCUGGUAAUUUCCCUGGGCAAAGUCAAUCAAGGCAUUGUCUCCCCCUGUCUUGAUUGAUUGCAUGUAUGAGUUAUGGCUAUCUUAAACUCACAAUUAUUUUUUUUUAAACAGUUAUUUUCUAAGCUAUCAAACAUAGAAUCGCGAUUUGCACCAGUAGACAAGGUAUAGGGGUUUUGGUUUGCGGUAGGGUUGCAUCAGUAGAUAAGGUGCAAAACUAAAUUCAAGCAGUGAAAAUCCGUAAAAAUUAACCUUCGCUUUCUGUCUUAUCGGUUGGUGUGUUUGUUUCAAAAUUCGCCACUAAAAAUAUGUUUGAACGGAGGUUUUGUUAAUAAAAUUAAGUGUUUAA
Molecule: long non-coding RNA, 1083 nt
Organism: Daphnia pulex (common water flea)
Lineage: Eukaryota; Metazoa; Arthropoda; Branchiopoda; Diplostraca; Daphniidae
Exons: 4
Source: RefSeq, a predicted model, not a curated record